GCUUGUCUCAAAGAUUAAGCCAUGCAUGUCUCAGUAUAAGCUUUCACACGGCGAAACUGCGAAUGGCUCAUUAAAACAGUUAUCGUUUCUUUGGUGGUUAUUGAUUCCAUGGAUAGCCGUGGUAAUUCUAGAGCUAAUACAUGCGCCCAGACCCAACUUUUAGGAAGGGUUGUAUUUAUUAGACUUAAGCCAAUAUUCCUUGUGUCUAUUGCGAUGAUUCAUAAUAACUGAUCGAAUCUCAAAUUUGAGAUAAAUCAUUCAAGUUUCUGCCCUAUCAGCUUUCGAUGGUAGUGUAUUGGACUACCAUGGCAGUAACGGGUAACGAAGAAUUAGGGUUCGAUUUCGGAGAGGGAGCAUGAGAAACGGCUACCACAUCU
Molecule: ribosomal RNA, 377 nt
Filed under: Pleuronema coronatum
Lineage: Eukaryota; Ciliophora; Oligohymenophorea; Pleuronematida; Pleuronematidae
Description: partial small subunit ribosomal RNA
Rfam family: Eukaryotic small subunit ribosomal RNA
Source: RNAcentral